Molecule: ribosomal RNA, 493 nt
Filed under: uncultured bacterium
Lineage: Bacteria
Description: partial 16S ribosomal RNA
Rfam family: Bacterial small subunit ribosomal RNA
Source: RNAcentral
GACGAACGCUGGCGGCGUGCUUAACACAUGCAAGUCGAACGGAAAGGCCUGCUUUCCCUUGUGGAUUGCGGGUACUCGAGUGGCGAACGGGUGAGUAACACGUGAGUGAUCUGCCCCCAACUUGGGUAUAAGCCUGGGAAACUGGGUCUAAUUCCCGAUAGGACUGCAGGGUGGUGCCUGUGGUGGAAAACGAUUUUCUAGUGGUUGGGGAUGAGCUCGCGGCCUAUCAGCUUGUUGGUGGGGUAAUGGCCUACCAAGGCGGCGACGGGUAGCCGGCCUGAGAGGGUGGACGGCCACAUUGGGACUGAGAUACGGCCCAGACUCCUACGGGAGGCAGCAGUGGGGAAUAUUGCACAAUGGGCGGAAGCCUGAUGCAGCGACGCCGCGUGGGGGAUGACGGCCUUCGGGUUGUAAACUCCUUUCGACCGCGAGGAAGCCACCUGGUUGGAAGGGUGGUGACGGUAGUGGUAGAAGAAGCACCGGCGAACUACGU